Molecule: long non-coding RNA, 1110 nt
Filed under: Gadus morhua (Atlantic cod)
Lineage: Eukaryota; Metazoa; Chordata; Actinopteri; Gadiformes; Gadidae
Description: lncRNA (ENSGMOG00000032826.1)
Source: RNAcentral
CUAAACUUCAAAACUGUGACAUUGCACACUUUAUCACAGGUUUAAAUACUAAUUCAUCUGUUGUAUAGUGAUAUUAUUUUGGCAUGAAACAAAAAAUACAACUAUUUAUUACAAAAAAACUACCGCAGGAAGGAUUUUACUUACAGCUCUCGAAAACAGGUUUGCGGGAUAACUUUUGAACGGCGUGACGUCAUUACACGAAAUUUCCCGGGGUUGGUCAGUCUUGCGUAGUGACGAAUUUUGAAGUGAAAGCCUUGCGUGGUUUUCGAGUAAAUCGCUGUGUUUCAAUCGUCCCGUGUUUCAAUCGACCCGGCUCUCCCCUAUCUCAACUGAACCCAGAGUGAAUACAUAAAAUACUUCCUUAAUGACUUCCUCACACUUCCAUCCGGUGAGAGCCUAGAAAGUAGAAAGUGAGAAAUGUUUCAGUCGUUAUUUCUCUCCCUUGGGAUCUCAACCUCUCCGCUCCAUGGAGCCAUAGGGGCUGCAACUUUGACACAGUAAGGAUCAUUAGGGAGAACCCAGCCUAGCAGUUCUACUUUGUUCCUUUAUUAGCUAGUUUUGAAUGAUCUAACUACCUAGCGAAUUAAAACUUCAGGUGGGUACAACCCCUGCUCCCUGAUCCUGACCCAACCGGUAUGAGGUCGCAUUAACCGGCUGACCCAAACACGCACGGACAUCUAGAUGUUUAUUCGCCGCGAGCGACGUCCUUUGCGAUAAACCACAGUGUGCUCGCAGCGAUCCGAAACUCGUGAUCGUUCAUUAAGUCGCCGCGGCUUCCUUUACGGGUAUAUCGACCAUGUUGCCCUUAAAGUCGACAAUGUGUUCUUCCUUUCUCCUGCUUUAUCUUUCUUGUCCAUUUGCCCGGGUAAUGAAACAAAGCCCUCCUGCAGUGUGGUAAAGGAAGGCCCUGGCAGACCAAUCCUCAUGUUUGCACAUCUUCCCAUCAUAACCAGCAGCGGGGUGGCUGUCAAGGCCAAACACUGAGACGUGAUGGAUGUCUGGUGGGACAGGGCUGACCCCAUUACGGUAAAUCUCAAGCGAUGCCCAUUUGGAAAAUAGUCUGUCAGCCGGAGUCGACGCCGCUGACCUGCCUGUCAUCGAGUGUCACGG